GAAAAAAGGUUUCGAAGACUCAGCGGAGCGUAUUCAGACUUCAGUUCCAGCGAAACCAAACCAAAAUUCGCCAAUGGAUCCCCCGCCUCCGGAGAUUAUUCCAACAGGUGCUCC
Molecule: non-coding RNA, 114 nt
Filed under: Compsopogon caeruleus
Lineage: Eukaryota; Rhodophyta; Compsopogonophyceae; Compsopogonales; Compsopogonaceae
Source: RNAcentral